Molecule: long non-coding RNA, 487 nt
Organism: Pantherophis guttatus
Lineage: Eukaryota; Metazoa; Chordata; Lepidosauria; Squamata; Colubridae
Source: RefSeq, a predicted model, not a curated record
AAUUACUAAUCUCUGAUAUCUUCUGAUGUGGAGUCUCCUCCCCCCCCCAUCACCUAUUUUGCAAAAUCUUGCGGCUGAAUUUUCAAAGCUGCAGCAAUGGAGGCAGAAUGAAUAAUGACAUUUGAAAAUACAGAAUGAACAAACGCUACUGGGAUGUCACAGCUCCUAAAUCACCGAACCGACAGUACACUCUGUAGUUUACUGGGCUAGAGGCAACAAAAUGAGAUGUCGACACAUACAUCUUCCAAUUGUCACCUUGCAUCACACUGCACAUUUUGAACAGGACGGCACAGUGGCAGUUCCUCCCUGGGUUGAAGGCUGCAAUUGAGAUUUCAUUACGGCCUGGAUUCCUACUUUUCCUUGGCCUUCCAUUCCUUGUUUUCCAUUCAAACCAUUUCAUUUUGUUUUAAAAAUUCCAGCUUAUUUCUCCGCCUAUGUAUUGGAUCCUUCCAUAAAAGGGGACUGAAAUAAACUAAAAUGCAAGUUC